This 871-nucleotide ribosomal RNA is filed under the name Sporidesmium melaleucae. RNAcentral describes it as "eukaryotic LSU rRNA". It matches the Rfam family "Eukaryotic large subunit ribosomal RNA", at positions 38 to 939 of the family's 3401-position model. The record is from RNAcentral. Lineage: Eukaryota; Fungi; Ascomycota; Sordariomycetes; Sporidesmiaceae.
GCAUAUCAAUAAGCGGAGGAAAAGAAACCAACAGGGAUUGCCCCAGUAACGGCGAGUGAAGCGGCAACAGCUCAAAUUUGAAAUCUGGCACCAGUGGUCAGAGUUGUAAUUUGAAGAGGAUGCUUUGGGUGCGGUGCCUUCCGAGUUCCCUGGGACGGGACGCCACAGAGGGUGAGAGCCCCGUAUGGUCGGACGCCUAGCCUGUGUAAAGCUCCUUCGACGAGUCGAGUAGUUUGGGAAUGCUGCUCUAAACGGGAGGUAAAUUUCUUCUAAAGCUAAAUACCGGCCCAAGACCGAUAGCGCACAAGUAGAGUGAUCGAAAGAUGAAAAGCACUUUGAAAAGAGGGUUAAACAGCACGUGAAAUUGUUGAAAGGGAAGCGUUUGUGACCAGACUUGCGCCCGGUGAAUCAUCCAGCUCUCUGCGCUGGUGCACUUUGCCGGGCUCAGGCCAGCAUCGGUCUCCUUAGGGGGAUAAAAGCUCCGGGAACGUAGCUCUUUCGGGAGUGUUAUAGCCCGCUGCAGAAUACCCUUCGGGGGACCGAGGUUCGCGCUCCGCAAGGAUGCUGGCGUAAUGGUUAUCAACGGCCCGUCUUGAAACACGGACCAAGGAGUCAAGCAUUAGGGCGAGUGUUUGGGUGUCAAACCCUCACGCGUAAUGAAAGUGAAUGCAGGUGAGAGCUUCGGCGCAUCAUCGACCGAUCCUGAUGUAUUCGGAUGGAUUUGAGUAAGAGCCUUACCGCUUGGACCCGAAAGAUGGUGAACUAUGCCUGUAUAGGGUGAAGCCAGAGGAAACUCUGGUGGAGGCUCGCAGCGGUUCUGACGUGCAAAUCGAUCGUCAAAUAUGGGCAUGGGGGCGAAAGACUAAUCGAA